CCUACGGGUGGCAGCAGUCGGGAAUAUUGCGCAAUGGAGGAAACCCUGACGCAGCGACGCCGCGUAUAGGAUGAAGGUCUUCGGAUUGUAAACUACUGUUGUUAGGGAAGAAAAAGGACAGUACUUAAGGAGGAAGCCCCGGCCAACUACGUGCAAGCAGCCGCGGUAAUACGCAGGGAGCAAGCGUUAUCCGGAUUUAUUGGGGGUAAAGGGGGCGUAGACGGGUAACCAAGUUAGAUGUGAAAUCCCUCGGCUCAACUAAGGAACUGCAUCUAAAACUGGAUUUCUUGAGUGCGGGAGAGGAAGGCGGAAUUCGUGGUGUAGCGGUGAAAUGCGUAGAUAUUAAGAGGAACACCCAUGGCGAAGGCGGCUUGCUGGAACGUAACUGACGUUGAGGCGCGAAAGCGUGGGGAGCAAACAGGAUUAGAUACCCGAGUAGUC
Molecule: ribosomal RNA, 441 nt
Filed under: uncultured bacterium
Lineage: Bacteria
Description: partial 16S ribosomal RNA
Rfam family: Bacterial small subunit ribosomal RNA
Source: RNAcentral